GACGCCGCCUGGGGCGGUUCGGACAGCCGGCUCGUCCUCAGCGGGCAGCUCGCGCCCGACACGUUCGGCGCGCGUGUGGCGCCG
This 84-nucleotide transfer RNA is filed under the name Promicromonospora citrea. RNAcentral's name for it is "tRNA-Glu". Lineage: Bacteria; Bacillati; Actinomycetota; Actinomycetes; Micrococcales; Promicromonosporaceae. The record is from RNAcentral.